GCGGCAGGCUUAACACAUGCAAGUCGAGGGGUAUAGUUCUUCGGAGCUAGAGACCGGCGCACGGGUGCGUAACGCGUAUGCAAUCUACCUUUUACAGAGGGAUAGCCCAGAGAAAUUUGGAUUAAUACCUCAUAGUAUUAUGAAAUGGCAUCAUUUUAUAAUUAAAGUCACAACGGUAAAAGAUGAGCAUGCGUCCCAUUAGCUAGUUGGUAAGGUAACGGCUUACCAAGGCUACGAUGGGUAGGGGUCCUGAGAGGGAGAUCCCCCACACUGGUACUGAGACACGGACCAGACUCCUACGGGAGGCAGCAGUGAGGAAUAUUGGACAAUGGGCGCAAGCCUGAUCCAGCCAUGCCGCGUGCAGGAUGACGGUCCUAUGGAUUGUAAACUGCUUUUGUACGAGAAGAAACACUCCCACGUGUUGGAGCUUGACGGUAUCGUAAGAAUAAGGAUCGGCUAACUCCGUGCCAGCAGCCGCGGUAAUACGGAGGAUCCAAGCGUUAUCCGGAAUCAUUGGGUUUAAAGGGUCCGUAGGCGGUUUAAUAAGUCAGUGGUGAAAGCCCAUCGCUCAACGGUGGAACGGCCAUUGAUACUGUUAAACUUGAAUUAUUAGGAAGUAACUAGAAUAUGUAGUGUAGCGGUGAAAUGCUUAGAGAUUACAUGGAAUACCAAUUGCGAAGGCAGGUUACUACUAAUGGAUUGACGCUGAUGGACGAAAGCGUGGGUAGCGAACAGGAUUAGAUACCCUGGUAGUCCACGCCGUAAACGAUGGAUACUAGCUGUUGGAAGCAAUUUCAGUGGCUAAGCGAAAGUGAUAAGUAUCCCACCUGGGGAGUACGUUCGCAAGAAUGAAACUCAAAGGAAUUGACGGGGGCCCGCACAAGCGGUGGAGCAUGUGGUUUAAUUCGAU
This 910-nucleotide ribosomal RNA is filed under the name Flavobacterium sp. A23. RNAcentral describes it as "bacterial SSU rRNA". It matches the Rfam family "Bacterial small subunit ribosomal RNA", at positions 39 to 955 of the family's 1533-position model. Lineage: Bacteria; Pseudomonadati; Bacteroidota; Flavobacteriia; Flavobacteriales; Flavobacteriaceae. The record is from RNAcentral.